This 468-nucleotide ribosomal RNA is filed under the name uncultured bacterium. RNAcentral's name for it is "partial 16S ribosomal RNA". It matches the Rfam family "Bacterial small subunit ribosomal RNA", at positions 28 to 507 of the family's 1533-position model. The record is from RNAcentral.
GACGAACGCUGGCGGCGUGCUUAACACAUGCAAGUCGAACGGAAAGGCCCUGCUUUUGUGGGGUGCUCGAGUGGCGAACGGGUGAGUAACACGUGAGUAACCUGCCCUUGACUUUGGGAUAACUUCUGGAAACUGGGGCUAAUACCGGAUAGGAGCUCCUGCUGCAUGGUGGUGGUUGGAAAGUUUCGGCGGUUGGGGAUGGACUCGCGGCUUAUCAGCUUGUUGGUGGGGUAGUGGCUUACCAAGGCUUUGACGGGUAGCCGGCCUGAGAGGGUGACCGGCCACAUUGGGACUGAGAUACGGCCCAGACUCCUACGGGAGGCAGCAGUGGGGAAUAUUGCACAAUGGGCGGAAGCCUGAUGCAGCAACGCCGCGUGCGGGAUGACGGCCUUCGGGUUGUAAACCGCUUUCGCCUGUGACGAAGCGUGAGUGACGGUAAUGGGUAAAGAAGCACCGGCUAACUACGUG